UAGGGAAUAUUGGGCAAUGGGCGGAAGCCUGACCCAGCCAUGCCGCGUGAAGGAAGACAGCCUUAUGGGUUGUAAACUUCUUUACUAUGCGAAUAGAGAUUAGUACGAGCUACUAAUAGGAAGGUAGCAUAGCAAAAAGCACCGGCUAACUCCGUGCCAGCAGCCGCGGUAAUACGGAGGGUGCAAGCGUUAUUCGGAAUUACUGGGCGUAAAGCGUGCGUAGACGGUUACAUAAGUCGGGUGUGAAAGCCCCGGGCUCAACCUGGGAAUUGCAUUCGAGACUGCGUAGCUAGGGUGCGGAAGAGGGAAGCGGAAUUUCCGGUGUAGCGGUGAAAUGCGUAGAUAUCGGAAGGAACACCAGUGGCGAAAGCGGCUUCCUGGUCCAGCACCGACGUUCAGGCGCGAAAGCGUGGGGAGCAAACA
Molecule: ribosomal RNA, 423 nt
Filed under: uncultured bacterium
Lineage: Bacteria
Description: bacterial SSU rRNA
Rfam family: Bacterial small subunit ribosomal RNA
Source: RNAcentral